AGCAAGUUCUGCCCUAAGAAGCAGGCACAGAAAAAGCAAAGGCUGUGCAGGAGCCAUUGUCCGAGGUACACUCUCCUCAGCAGAGGGCUCAGGUGCUGCCUCUUGGAGUGCACUUGCUGAUGAACAGGAUCCCAUCUGCCAGGAGCACCCAAGCAGUCACAUACUAUUCUUGCUGGCAACCAAGAGUAAAGUAGGAGAUUGAUAUUUACUUCCCUAGAAUGAAAAAGAAAAAAAAAGAAAAAGAAAAAAGAAGGAAACUUUUGUGUACUUCUUUUCUAGGCCAGGAUUCUGCUGUUUGUUCUUGUCCUGAACUUUUUCUCUUCCUACUGGAUGAUCACAUUCUUCACUCCAUUUCAUAAAAGGAUCUGCCUGGUUGUUCCUGGGAAGAUGAGAGUGACCUGGAGCCCCACGCUGGACUGCUUGCUGCUUGCAAAAGCACCUGAGAGUGAAGGGAGACGCUUUGCUCCACAGAGGAUUGUGCGUGUGUGUCAUGGUUUUAUGAUUUUUGGUUAUUGGUAUUCCACAUCAUAACAUCAUGUAGUGUACUGAGAGUUAAAGAGUUAAUGCUCCAGUUCCAUGGAUAGUCCCGGGUACCUGGUCCUCAGAACUAAUUACAUUUCCCGGGGGACUUUGCUGCCCUGUUACCAUUUCCGUUCAGAGGGAAAGAUAAAGCUGUUUGCAGAUCACGAGGCGCUCCCUUCUCGUCCCAUCUCUCGUCCCGGCAGCAUCUCGCUCCCCAGCCGUCUCACCGUUGGCACUAGAGUAAGGCCUACCUUAAUUCUGGACACUCUCUCUCAUUGUAUUGGAUUUAUUCGCUUAAACUGUAAUUAUAUUGUAUUAUAUUGUGUUAUUUUGCAUUCUGAUACCUCAUUUAGUAAAUUAGUUUGUUUCUCCUCAGAUCAUUGCUGCUGUUUUGUUUUAGGCCCAUCUCCCUGCCCUUUCCCUUUUUCCCUUUUCCCUUUCCUGGGGCGUGGGUUCGUGGGUCCCCCGCCCCAUUCGUCACAGAACCGGGCUGAACCAGCCCAUAAACAGCUGACAGUGUGUAAUGACAAAACAGAAAAACUGGAGCCUGGGAGUGCUUCCAGCCGCAGCUCUGCACGUGGGCAGCGAGGGUGUCGUGUGAUGGCCCCAUCUCCUGACAAGGGAGAGCAGAUGGGGACACAGCGAUUGCUGGAACGACCACAUGGCUCCCAGAGUGCCCGUGGGGCUCCCUUCACUUCCAGCAGAGCUGCUGAGCAAUUCUCACUAUACUGAUCAGCAACAGCGCACAAGGCCUGAUCAAAGCGUGUGUGGAGCAGGGAGAUCACUGAGCUGAUUCUGCAGGACCCCGCCAAGACCCAGCAAACCAACUCCAAGUCACGCAUGCAGCAGAGUGUUUUCUUUUACUUUCCUGCUCAGCAUUCUUGCUGUUGCUCUCAUCUGUCACAGAUGAACAUGAGUUUACUUGGCUUCUCCUUUCCAAAUCUCAGAGGAUACUGCUCACAGACAAAUUAAAACAGGCACAAGUUUCUGAAGCCAUUAUUUGUCAUAAUAAAACCCUAAGGCAGCUUUAUUACA
Long non-coding RNA from Numida meleagris (helmeted guineafowl), 1557 nucleotides. The record is from Ensembl. NCBI's taxonomy places the organism in Eukaryota, Metazoa, Chordata, Aves, Galliformes, Numididae.